This 253-nucleotide ribosomal RNA is filed under the name uncultured bacterium. RNAcentral's name for it is "partial 16S ribosomal RNA". It matches the Rfam family "Bacterial small subunit ribosomal RNA", at positions 524 to 776 of the family's 1533-position model. The record is from RNAcentral.
UACGUAGGUGGCAAGCGUUGUCCGGAUUUACUGGGCGUAAAGAGCGCGCAGGCGGUCGUUCAAGUCGCGUGUGAAAGCCCCCGGCUCAACUGGGGAGGGUCACGCGAUACUGAUCGACUCGAAGGCAGGAGAGGGAAGUGGAAUUCCCGGUGUAGUGGUGAAAUGCGUAGAUAUCGGGAGGAACACCAGUGGCGAAGGCGACUUCCUGGCCUGUUCUUGACGCUGAGGUGCGAAAGCGUGGGGAGCAAACAGG